Molecule: small RNA, 360 nt
Filed under: Arabidopsis thaliana (thale cress)
Lineage: Eukaryota; Viridiplantae; Streptophyta; Magnoliopsida; Brassicales; Brassicaceae
Description: ATSL206520
Source: RNAcentral
AAAUGUUAUUAUGAGAUUUGAAUACAAGCAUUAUUGUUGGUUCGAUUGAUGUCAUCAAAUCAGUCAGAAUAUUGCUGUGUUUUGCUUUUGUUGAGUUUAUCGAGAAACAAUUAUUAUGUUAUUCUCGAGAUUAAAAAAAAAAAUGAGUUAAUAGGGAACCGCGAAUAAUGAUUGGUUUCAUAGAUGCAUGAACACGUCAGUAGAUGAUAAUUCAAACGAGUUCGAAAUUAUUCCUUAACUAAACCCUCCAAUAAUCAAAAUUUCUGUUUCGACGUGGAAUAUUAUAACGUUACGGCUGAGUUAUGCAAUAAGAUUUCGUGUUUUGGCCAAGUUAUGAGAUACCAUAUGUUAUUAUGAUAA